This 659-nucleotide long non-coding RNA is filed under the name Linum usitatissimum (flax). Its description in RNAcentral is "long non-coding RNA (LUSI_LNC002003)". The record is from RNAcentral. Lineage: Eukaryota; Viridiplantae; Streptophyta; Magnoliopsida; Malpighiales; Linaceae.
CCAACUAACGUCUCUUACAAUGUGAUUAUCCAUGGGUUUCUUCUGACAUAAAGAUCCGGUUGAAGCAGUAGACCUGAUUCAAGAGAUGGUGUCCAAGGGGUUUUCAGCUGAUGCAACCACAUUGUCUUUGUUAAUAGAAUUGUUGUCCCGGAAACAGUUGGAUCAUCCACUGCUCAGAAAGCUGCUAGGUGAUUCUGAUGUGUAUAGUGAAGAGAUAAGGCCUAAGGAUUUAUCAGCAAAUACAAAUAGUCCGGUAAUUUGAUGUAACAGAGGCAAAGAAGUUGCAGCAGCAGCAGCUAGGAAGUUGAUAUUAUGGGAUACUACUUCUUGGUAUAAAGUAUAACUUAAUAGAUGCAUAUUUAUUGAUCAUUGCUCAGGUUUCUGCAACACUAAUCUGGGUUAAUGGCUGCUUAUUGUUAAUCUUUCUUCUUGAUAUGUCAAAUAGCAGGCAAACUUGUUAAGACUGAUCAACUCGAACACGGCAGCACGCCUAGCUACUUUCAGCUGCUUCGCCAGAAGAUGCGGGUCACAUUCCUUCUACUCGCAUGUGACUUCACUGGAACACUCUGCUGUCAGACAUAUUAGUUGGAAACUGCCUCAAUUAGCUUCUGUUGUGAGUAUCUCUCUGCUUGCUUCACUUCCUAACCAACACAUCGACC